RNAcentral lists this long non-coding RNA (7257 nucleotides) under Physcomitrium patens. RNAcentral describes it as "long non-coding RNA (PPAT_LNC009035)". The record is from RNAcentral. Lineage: Eukaryota; Viridiplantae; Streptophyta; Bryopsida; Funariales; Funariaceae.
GAAGUAGAAGAUAUGCAAAUGGAUGCACUAUGUUUCAAAUCUCUUAUUGAGCAAGUAAAGACUCAUCGUAGUCAAGAAGGAUUAUACUUAUAUUGUAAAAAACCUAAGCAUACUACUCAAUAUUGUCCAAAGAAGCAACGUAACUAUAAAAUAAAGAAUACGGCUAUCAAAGAAGAUAGUAUAUUAAAAAACAAGUUUCUCCAGUUAUAAUAGGCACCGUGCCACUGGAACCUUGUACAAUACCUAGUAAAGAUCCUAUUCUCUCCUCAGAACCCUCUCCUUGUUUUACGAUAAAUAUUAUUAUAGGACCUAAACAUCACAAAGUCCUUGCCUUGUUAGAUUCAAGAGCCUCAGCAUGUUUUUUAGAUGAAGAAUUUGCUAAAAGACAUAGCAUACUUUUAGUGAAGAAAACUAAAUUUGUUCAUGUAGAAGUCAUAACUAGUCGUUUGUAAUCUUCAAAAGAUAUUAUUCAUGAAAUCCUUCCUAUUGAAGUAGCAACUAAUGGUCAUAGUAGCUUUGUAAUAUUUAAUAUCAUUAGAUUUCCCUCUAAUCUAAUCAUUUUAUGUUUAUCAUGGCUAGGAAAAUAUAAUCUUAAAAUAGAUUGGACUUCUCAUAGUCUUGGCUUUUUUGAAAGUAUAACUAAGAGCAUAGUUAAUCAAGUAGAAAGUCAUAAGUCUAAUACAAUUAAACAUAUAUUUGUAAGUGCAAGAGCUUUUUUGUAUGGUGCAAAAAAAAUAUCACCUUGUAUCAUUUAUGCCGCACUUGUUUCUACUGAUAAAAAGACUUCAAGUAGCAUUUCAAGCCAAUAUCAAGAUUUUUAAGAUCUAUUUGAGAAGAAGAAUGCAGAUAUUCAUUUAGAAAAUCAUUCCUAUGAUUGCUCAAUUGACCCUCAAGAAAGAACAUAACCCCCAUUUGGACCAAUCUACAAUUUAUCACAAAAUGAGUUUGCUAAAUUCAAAGAAUAUAUUGAAGAGAAUUUGACUAAGAACUUCAUACGCCAUUCCAAAUCUCCAACAGGAGCUCCAAUUUUAUUUGUGAAGAAAAAAGAUGAAACAUUACGGAUGUGUGUCGAUUAUCAAGGACUCAACAAAAUCACCAUCAAAAACAUAUAUCCACUAUCUUUAAUAUAUGGACUCCUUGUUCAAUUGAAUCAAGCUAAGAUCUAUAAAAGAAUAGAUCUACAAAGAGCAUACAAUGUAGUAUGUAUCAAACAAAGAGAUGAAUAGAAGACUACAUUUCGAAUAAGGUAUGGACAUUUUAAAUACAACGUCAUGCCUUUUGGACUUGCAAAUAUACUAGCAGCAUUCCAACAUCUAAUGAGUGAUGUCUUUUGGGAGUUUUUAGAUAAUUUUGUUAUUAAUUACCUUGACAAUAUCUUAAUCUAUUUUAAGAACAUAAAAGAACAUGAACUUUAUGUUUGUUGAGUGUAACAAAAACUAAGAGUUGCGAGAUUCUAUGCUAAAAUAAAAAAAAAAAGUAUGUAUUUCAUAAUAUUGAAGUCAACUUUUUAGGAUACAUCAUUUCAAAUGAUGGACUUAUAAUGGAUCCUAAGAAAAUUCAAGCUAUUAUGGAUUAGAAGAUCCCAAAAAAGUUAAGAGAUGUCUAAUACUUUUUGAGAUUUAUCAACUACUAUCGGAACUUCAUGAAAGACUUCUUUCAAGUUGCAGUUCUACUUACACAUUUGACUUGUAAAGACAAACUUCAAUGGAAUCCAGAAGCGGAAGUAGCAUUUGAAGCUUUGAACAUAGCCUUUAUUUUUGUACCAAUCUUAUAUUUUAUCGAUUUUUUUAAGCCAUUUUUUUAUAGAAAUAGAUGCAUCAGACUUUGCUUUGGGUGUUGUAUUGUUAAAAAUGAGAACAAAUGAUAAACUUCAUCUAGUAGCUUUUUAUUCUGAAAAAAUUUCAACAGUCAAGAUUAACUAGGAAAUCCACAACAAAGAACUUCUUGCAAUCAUGGAUUUGUUUCAAGAAUGGUGCCAUUAUAUAAAAGAUGCUUCUAGUCAAGUCACCAUAUAUACAAAUCAUAAGAAUCUUGAAUAUUUUAUGUCAAUAUGUGUUUUGAAUUGUCACCAAGCCCAUUAGAGUAUGUCUUUGUCAAAAUUCAAAUUGAAGAUCACUUAUCGAUCGGAAAAACAACAAGGUUUGUCAAAUGCACUCUUUAGACAAUCUUAUUUUAUACCAAAGGAAGGAGAUGCAACUUUUGAUCAGCAACAGACAAUUCUCUUGAAGUUAGAGCAUUUUUAUCUUCGAGCAAUGAAAUCAACACUAACUAUUGAUUCAACUUUCAUUAAGCAAGUUCAAUCAAGUAUGUUUUUUCAUCCUCUUAUUUGUGAUAUUAAGGAAAAUCCUUCAAAGUCUCAAGAUACUUCCAAGUUUGAAUUGAAGGACAAUCUACUAUUUUUCGAGAGCCACCUAUAUGUUCAAGAAGGUGAAGCUCGAUUACGUAUUCUUCAAGCACGUCAUGACUUUCAAGUAGUAGGACAUUUUGGGUACAAUAAAACUUUAGAACUAAUAUCUAGGAACUUUUGGUGGCUUCAAAUGUGAAAGGCAGUCAAAGAUUUUGUAUAAUCUUAUGAUGUUGCUCAAGAUCAAAAACUCCUCGUCAUCGAUCUUACGGACUUUUUCAGCCAUUACCCAUUCCAGAACAAUAAUAGUCUUCUAUUUCUAUGGAUUUCAUCACAGAUCUUUUAAUCUUAGGUUUUUAUGACUCUAUAUUCGUGAUAAUAGAUUGUUUUACCAAGAUGGCAUAUUUUGUAUUAUGUACAAAAUCUAUCAUAGGUGAAGAAACAGCUAAGCUCUUUCUUGACAAUAUCUAUCGCUAUCGUGGAUUAUCCAAGGAUAUUAUAUCAGAUAGGGGAGCUCAGUUUGUAUCAAGAUUUUGAUGGACUCUUUUCAAGAUUCUAAGAAUUGAUAUAAAACUAUCUUCGGUAUUCCAUCUUCAAAUUGAUGGACAAAUGUAGCGUGUUAAUCAAGUUUUGGAGUAAUAUUUAAGAUCUACCAUCAACUACCAAUAAGAUGAUUGGACAACUCUUUUGCCAUUGGCAAAGUUUGCUUAUAAUAAUACGUUACAUUCUUCUACAAAACAAACACCUUUCUUUGCCAAUUAUGGUUAUCAUCCACGACUUGAUACUUUUAACUUUUCAAAAGUUGAUAAUCCUAUGGUUAAAGAUUUGGCAAACUAUUUGUCAGAGCUACAUGCAACAAUGAAGGCGCAGCUAAAAUAUGCUCAAGAACAACAAAAGAAUAAUGUAGAUGUCUAUGGAAAGGAAUAACUAUCAUUCUACAUGAAUAACAAGGAAUGGUUACUUCAUCGUAAUAUCAAGACCACUUGUCUUUAUGACAAGUUAAACUAUCGUAGGCUUAGACCAUUUUUUAUUUUUGUACAAAUCAAUCUAGUUGCAUAUCGUUUACACCUACCAAAGUCAAUGAAAAUCCAUCUACUAUUCCACAUGUCUCUUCUUGUAUCAUACAAGACAGUAGACAUACCAAGAAGAAGACAGGUUCCAUCUCUUCCUAUACAAGUGGAUAUUAAUAAAGAAUUCUAAGUAGAAGAAGUCCUAGAUUUAAGGCAACACCAAAGUAAUUUAAAAUAUCUUGUCAAUUGGCAUAGAUAUGAUAAUAAUGAACACACAUGGAAGCAAGUAAAGAAUCUUACAAAUACAAAAAAGGUGGUUGAGGCUUUUCAUCAAUGACAUCCAUCAAAAUCAAGAUGAAAACCUUCCUUAUAAAAGAAACAAGAUCUAAGUAAGUUAACAUUUUACUUUCAAUCCUUGUUUGUAGCUUCUUUGUAGUUGUGAUACUGAGGAAUUAGAGAACUAACAACCAGCAGAUUUGACUCAAGAGCCUUCAUUUAUUGACCUAUCGAAUAAGACAUUAUGAUUGUCAUAACCUUUAAGACGAUGCAAUCAAGAUGAAGAUCCUCAAGAAUGACAUGUUUUCCUUCAAAUAGAUAGCAAGAUACAAUGCAUUUGGUAUCACGACCUUUAAAGAAACUUCCAAUGUAUGGUGAUUUUACUAGAAGUAAGGACAACUUCUAGUAGUGUUCAAAAUGUUUUAUUUGAAGGAAGUUAUGAAGGCCUCAACAACAAUCAAAUAAUUGGGUGGUCUUUUUGCCUUAGUAUAAGACACUAUCGUUCGUUGAGAGAUCCUAUUAAUCAGCUUUGAAGAAAACAAAGAUCAAAGUAUGUAGCAAAUAUAAUUUGUCCCAUCUUAAACAUCCUGGACUUGUAGAACUCGUCCCUAGAAUGGCAGAUAAUGUCACAGACAUAUAUUUACUAUACUUAUUAUCUAUGUGAUAUGAAUAGAUAGAAGUAUGCUAAAAUAUAUUAAUUUCUUAACAUCUUCUAGAGAAGCUUCAUAGAAGCUUCAUAGAUGCUACUUUGACUUUACAUGUCUUUAUACUUGAUUGAUAGGUUAGAACCUUGUUCAACAAGAUAACCACAUACCACACAUAUUGGUAGCUUGUGGAACAAGCUAACAAUGUCUUGCCCAUAUAGAAAACUUGCCUUCCUAAUUAAGAUAUGUGUUGUGCAAAUUCAACACAUUUUUGGAGGUCCUAUAGAAUGUCACAACAUAGCUCUUAGAUAGAUAGUAUAUAUAGAGGCAAGAGUGAAGCCUUCUUCACUCUUGUCGACUCCUUUCUUGCUUCUAGUCUAGUUUCAAGGGUCUUUAGUUUUCUUGUCUUUUGGCAAUAACCAUUCUAGUUUCUUUCUUAAUACACAUAUUUAGUUAUUUUUAUUUUUUCAUCUUGCUUUGAGAAAAGUCUCACUUGUUUAUUUAUUCUUAUCAAGUUCUUAUCCUUGACCAACCACCACUAUAAAUCCUAGCCACCACCUUAGUCACUUUCCUAUUACCUUUUGCUACCCUUUCACUAUUAGCAACUUAUGUUAGGUAAUAUCUUUUAUUUGUCCAAUAUUUAUUUUAUCAGAGGACUUUAUGCCAAGAUAAAAAAGUAUGUAUUUCUCACUAUUUAAGUUGACUUUUUAGGUUACAUCAUUUCAAACGAUUGACUUAUGUUAGAUUCUAAGAAAAUUCAAACUAUUAUGGAUUAGAAGAUCUCAAAAUCAGUCCGAGAUGUCCAAUAUUUUUUGAAAUUUGCUAAUUACUAUCAGAUUUUUAUCAAGGACUUCUCUCAAAUUGUACCUCCAUUUACACAUUUGACUUAUAAAGACAAACUUCAAUAGAAUCAAGAAGCAGAAGCAGUAUUUGAAGCUUUAAGGACAAUCUUUAUUUUUGCACCAAUCUUAUAUUGUGUUGACUUUUCUAAGGCAUUUUUUAUGGAAAUAGAUGCAUUGGACUUUGCUUUGGAUGUCUUAUUAUUACAAAUGGGAAUAGAUGAUAAACUUCAGCCAACAGCUUUUCAUUUCAAGAAAUUUUCAAAAGCUGGGAUUAUGUCACGGACAUACAUAUAAUUACCUAUAUGAAUAGAUAAAAGUAUGUAAAAGUAGGUUAAUUGUGUAAUAUCUUCUAGAGAAGCUUCUUAGAAGCUUCAUAGACGCUGCUUUGACUUUAUAGGAGUCUAUAGUUGACUUUUAGGUUAGAAACUUGGUCAACAAGUUAGCCAUGUGCCACGCAUGUUGGAAGCUUAAAGAACAAGCUAACUACGUGGUCCAUCCAUAGAAAACUUGCCUUGCAAGCAAAGGCAUGUGGCCUAGAAAGUCAACAUAUAUUGGAGGUCUUAUAGAACAUCGCCACGUGGCUUCUAGUUAGAUAGUAUAUAUAGAGGCAAGAGUGAAGCCCUCUUCACUCUUGUCAACUCCUUUCUUGCUUCUAGUCUAGUUUCAAGGGUCUCUAGUUUUCUUGUAUUUUGGCAAUAGCCAUUCCAGUUUCUUUCUUAAUAUACAUAUUUCUAUUUUGUCCUAUUUCUUUUUGAGAAAAGUCUCACUUAUUCUUUAGCUUUCAUCGAGUUCUUGUCCUUGACAGAUUGACAAGAGUACACUUACAAUAUCAGAGCUUUGUCUUUUCUUGAUUAAGAGUGGAUUACCCCUUUUUCUUGAUAAGACAUAAGCGCAUUAGAAGUUGCGGAUUACCCUCUUUUAAACUGAUAUUGUUCUUAGUAUUUUCUUUGUUAUCAAUUCCUCUCUUCUAUUUGUUUUGAGCGUUAUUAGACAUCUUCUCUUUUCUAAGUGCUACUAUGGCAGAGCUUGAUGAAAUGAAGAGUGCAAUGGCACAGAUGCAAGAACAAUUGAGGGAGUUAAUGCUUGCGAUGCAUCAACUCAAUUUACCACCACAAGGAGCAACAAGAAUGGUAGGAAGUGAAGAUAUAGAGAUGAUUGGGGCUGCUUCGACAUCUGCACCAAAUCAUGUCCCUUCUCCCAGAAUGGAACACCCUUCGAGUGUUAGAGAACCGAGAGUUGCCUUGCCCGAGAAGUUUGAUGGUACCAGAUCCAAGUUUCGAGGAUUCAUCAAUCAGGUCCAACUAGUGAUUGAACUUCAACCCCAGAGCUAUCCAACUCCAGGGUCACAAGUUAGAUUCAUUGGUACACUUCUUUCAGGUUCAGCAUUGUCAUGGUUUUCAUCUUUUCUUGAACGACGAGAUCCAAUAUUGGAUAAUCUGGAGGCUUUUUUGGCGGAGUUUCGAUCCAUGUUUGGAGAACAUGAUGCAAUUCGUGUUGCAACCAACAAGAUCCGUAUUUUGCGACAAGGCAAUCGAUCAGUAACAUUAUAUGCUUCGCAAUUUCGACAACUUGCAACUGAUAUCAAGUGGAAUGAUGCCGCACUUGUGAGUCAAUUUCUCUACGGAUUACAAUAUGAGGUAAAGAAAUUGAUGCUUAAUUUACCUGAUCCUCAAACAUUGAGUCAAGCAAUUGACUUUGCUGUGAAGUGCGACAAUCGACUUUUUGAAUUUCGAUCCGAGAGUCGCACAAGUGGGCCUCAACGUUACUACAAUUCAAUGGCAACACCGACGUCUCCUCAACACAUACCUUCAGAAGUAGAGGAUAUGCAAAUUGAUGCGGUACGUUUCAAACCUCUUACUGAGCAAGAAAAGUCUCGUCGUCGACAAGAAGGAUUGUGCUUAUAUUGUGGAGAACCUAAGCACACUGCUCAACAUUGUCCAAAGAAGCGACGUAACUACAAAAUGAGGAGUACGGCUGUCAAAGAAGACAGUAUGUCGGAAAAUGAAUACGUCCAGCUACAAUAGGGACCGUGCGGCUGGAAUCUUGUACAACUUCUAAUGAAGGUCCUAUCCUCUCCUCAGAACCAUCUCCUUGUUUUAUAAUAGAUGUGCGUUUAGGACCUAAUAAUUACAAAGCCUCUG